GAUGAACGCUGGCGGCGUGCUUAACACAUGCAAGUCGAGCGGAAAGACGAGGAGUUUGUUCCUUUGUCGAUUGCCGAGCACGGGAGAGACACAUGUGGAAACUGUACUUAUCAGACUGGGAAAACUUCGGGACUCCGGCGAUUACCCCGGAUAAUAUAUUGAACCGUAUGGUUCAAUAGUGAAAGACGGGUUUGGUGUCAGUUCUCGAUGGAUCCGCGUCGCAUUAGCGUGUUGGCAAGGUAACGGGUUACCAAGGCAACGAUGCGUAACCGACUUGCGAGGGUGAUCGGCCACGCGAGAACGGAGACACGGACCAGGCUCCUGCGAGAGGCAACAGUAGGGAAUGUGGCGCAAUGGGGGAAAACCUGACGGAGCGACGCCGCGUGAGUGAUGAAGGUCUUCUGAUCGUAAAACUCGUUUAUGAGGUAAGAACAAAUGUGUAAGUAACUAUGCACUUCUUGACGGUACCUGGUCAAGAAGCCACGGCUAACUACGUG
This 497-nucleotide ribosomal RNA is filed under the name uncultured bacterium. Its description in RNAcentral is "partial 16S ribosomal RNA". It matches the Rfam family "Bacterial small subunit ribosomal RNA", at positions 28 to 507 of the family's 1533-position model. The record is from RNAcentral.